Molecule: non-coding RNA, 1685 nt
Organism: Camellia sinensis
Lineage: Eukaryota; Viridiplantae; Streptophyta; Magnoliopsida; Ericales; Theaceae
Source: RefSeq, a predicted model, not a curated record
UAGUGCCUCUGCCGGAAACCAAACAGAAGCUUGAUAUAUCUGUGCAUUUUUCGCUCCAAAAUUUGUUUGUGCCUGUCUCUCGCAGAUGUGUGCAAGAAGUUCUUCCACCUGCUCUUGAUUCUACUUCAGACCCACCUGCAAUCUUCGAUGGGACGACAAGGCUGUACAUUUCCUACAUAUGCCCGUAAGCCCAACGUGCGUGGAUUACCCGAAACUGUAAGGGAUUGCAGGAGAAGAUAAAAUUGGUUCCUAUUGAUCUACAAAACAGGCCAACUUGGUACAAGGAGAAAGUUUACCCGCCGAACAAGGUGAAAUUAUUCUAAUGCAGUCUGUGCUUUAUGGGUAUUUCAAUGAAUGAUGUAUAUGAAAUUGUUCCAAAUGGUUUUAUAUGAUGCAAAAUGAAAUUCUCUGAUUAUAUUGUAGAAGAGUCAAAGUGAAUUACAAUAGAAUGGCUUCAUUGCUUGAAUAUUACAGAUUUACAAAAACUUGAUGGCUUAAUUUUAAGUGAAACUUGUGAGAAUUUAGAAAUCUUACAACUCGGUUAUGAGCCAAACAAUGGAUAGUUCUGACAAGAAGAUGAAAUUGAGAUGAGACAUACCAGUAUGCAUUUGCAUCUUCUUCAGAAAGCGGAAGCAGAAUAAGCCAAGGAAGGAAGUUGAAAGUAAGUUUAAGAUAGUUUUAUCUAGACCUCUAUGUAGACUUUAAUAUGAUUUUGUUGCCGUUGAAAAAAUUAACAAAUCAAAAAAAAAAAGUAGAACAAAUCCAAAUGACGUCAAUUAUCUCAAUAUGUUCUUGAUAAAAAUAAAUCUUGGAAAGAAAAUUAAAAGAUCCCUUCUUAAUGUGCUUGUGGAGAAUUUUGGGAUGCUAUUUCGGUGUACGAUUACGAUGGUUAAUUUUAUGAUUUGAAGGAAGUCAUCAACAUUACCUAAAAGAUCUAUGUUUUCAUUUGUUACUGUUAUUGACAUAAUUGUUAACUUGUUUCAUCAGUUUGUAAAGAUACAGAUGAAAUUAGCAAUGAGGAACCCUUGCAAUAUGAUUUUGAUACUAUUAGUCUUGCAACAAAUAACUUCUCUGAUGCUAAUAAGCUCGGACAAGGCGGAUUUGGUGUUGUUUACCGGGGUAGGCUUCCAAACAGACAAGAAAUAGCUGUGAAGAGGCUAUCUAAUGAUUCUAGACAAGGAGAACUAGAAUUUAAGAAUGAGGUUAUGCUAGUUGCCAAGCUUCAGCACAGGAAUUUGGUUAGACUCCUAGGAUUCUGCCUUGAAGGAACAGAAAGAAUUCUUAUUUACGAGUUUGUGACCAACUCAAGCCUCGAUAACUUCAUAUUCGAUCCCAUUAAUCGUUCACAAUUGGAUUGGGAUAAGCGUUACAAGAUCAUAAGAGGAAUUGCUCGGGGACUUCUAUAUCUUCAUAUGGCUGUGACCACAUACAACACAUCCCUUCCUUAUGCUGAAAGAUAUAGAAAUGGUCACUACCUGAGUACCUAAAUUUAGAAUGUGAAAUUUUGUAUUUGAACUGGUCUGUCCAGGGCCUUUUAGAUUGUUAAGUCUAUUGUUUAAUUUCAGGAAAAGUACAGGUUGCCUUGGUUUGGAAUAUUAGAAAAGAGAACUCCCCUUCCUCGAAAAAGUUAAAUGCUUUGGCCAAUGUGUGCCCAUUCUCUCUCUCUCUCUCUCUCUGUUUGUAUU